AACGCACAUGGCGCCCCUUUGGGGCAUGCUUGUUUCAGUGUCAUACCCUCUCACGACCCCCCGCGGGCCUUGUGGUGUAUGAGCCCCACGGAAGCUGUAAACUGGCUCACGCGUGGCUUGAAGUGUGAAAGUAGGAGACCCGGUGACGAUGCAGACCCUGUACCUUCAGGGGGCUUGGCAUAACAGCGCGGUGUGGUAGGAUCCCGCAAGGGCAUCACGCACCCCCGUGCCCUGUUCAGCCUUACCCCAUUCCAAACUGAGGGUACGCGCAAAAAGGCUUUGUCGCGUCCCACCGUAUGGGAACCUCCAGGGAGGCACUGCGUGUGCCUCCCGCACUGGGAAACCCUUAAAACGUUUCCCACCCCCCCUCAACUUUUGACCUGAAAUCAAGUAAGAAUACCCGCUGAAUUUAA
Molecule: unclassified non-coding RNA, 413 nt
Filed under: uncultured fungus
Lineage: Eukaryota; Fungi
Description: partial contains ITS1, 5.8S rRNA and ITS2
Source: RNAcentral